Molecule: ribosomal RNA, 254 nt
Filed under: uncultured bacterium
Lineage: Bacteria
Description: partial 16S ribosomal RNA
Rfam family: Bacterial small subunit ribosomal RNA
Source: RNAcentral
UACGUAGGAUGCAAGCGUUGUCCGGAAUUAUUGGGCGUAAAGAGCUCGUAGGCGGUUCGGUAAGUCAGCUGUGAAAUCUCCACGCUCAACGUGGAGGGGUCAGUUGAUACUGCCGUGACUUGAGUCUGGUAGGGGAGUGCGGAAUUCCCGGUGUAGCGGUGAAAUGCGCAGAUAUCGGGAGGAACACCAGUGGCGAAGGCGGCACUCUGGGCCAGUACUGACGCUGAGGAGCGAAAGCGUGGGGAGCGAACAGG